CGGGGUGUGGCGCAGUCUGGUAGCGCACGUGGUUUGGGACCACGGUGUCGGGGGUUCAAAUCCCUCUACCCCGA
Molecule: transfer RNA, 74 nt
Filed under: Fibrobacter sp.
Lineage: Bacteria; Pseudomonadati; Fibrobacterota; Fibrobacteria; Fibrobacterales; Fibrobacteraceae
Description: tRNA-Pro
Rfam family: tRNA
About the family: Transfer RNA (tRNA) molecules are approximately 80 nucleotides in length. Their secondary structure includes four short double-helical elements and three loops (D, anti-codon, and T loops).
Source: RNAcentral